RNAcentral lists this ribosomal RNA (1446 nucleotides) under uncultured bacterium. Its description in RNAcentral is "bacterial SSU rRNA". It matches the Rfam family "Bacterial small subunit ribosomal RNA". The record is from RNAcentral.
AGAGUUUGAUCCUGGCUCAGGAUGAACGCUGGCGGCGUGCUUAACACAUGCAAGUCGAACGAACCUUCGGGUUAGUGGCGGACGGGUGAGUAACGCGUGAGAAUCUGCCCUCAGGAGGGGGAUAACGGUUGGAAACGACCGCUAAUACCCCAUAUGCCGAGAGGUGAAAUGAAUUUCGCCUGAGGAUGAGCUCGCGUCUGAUUAGUUAGUUGGUGGGGUAAUGGCCUACCAAGACAUCGAUCAGUAGCUGGUCUGAGAGGAUGAUCAGCCACACUGGGACUGAGACACGGCCCAGACUCCUACGGGAGGCAGCAGUGGGGAAUUUUCCGCAAUGGGCGAAAGCCUGACGGAGCAACGCCGCGUGAGGGAUGAAGGCCUCUGGGCUGUAAACCUCUUUUAUCAAGGAAGAAGAUCUGACGGUACUUGAUGAAUAAGCCACGGCUAAUUCCGUGCCAGCAGCCGCGGUAAUACGGGAGUGGCAAGCGUUAUCCGGAAUUAUUGGGCGUAAAGCGUCCGCAGGCGGUCUGUCAAGUCUGCUGUUAAAGCGUGGAGCUUAACUCCAUUUCGGCAGUGGAAACUGACAGACUAGAGUGUGGUAGGGGCAGAGGGAAUUCCCGGUGUAGCGGUGAAAUGCGUAGAUAUCGGGAAGAACACCAGUGGCGAAGGCGCUCUGCUGGGCCAUAACUGACGCUCAUGGACGAAAGCCAGGGGAGCGAAAGGGAUUAGAUACCCCUGUAGUCCUGGCCGUAAACGAUGAACACUAGGUGUCGGGGGAAUCGACCCCCUCGGUGUCGUAGCCAACGCGUUAAGUGUUCCGCCUGGGGAGUACGCACGCAAGUGUGAAACUCAAAGGAAUUGACGGGGGCCCGCACAAGCGGUGGAGUAUGUGGUUUAAUUCGAUGCAACGCGAAGAACCUUACCAGGGUUUGACAUCCUGCGAAUCUCUUGGAAACGAGAGAGUGCCUUCGGGAACGCAGUGACAGGUGGUGCAUGGCUGUCGUCAGCUCGUGUCGUGAGAUGUUGGGUUAAGUCCCGCAACGAGCGCAACCCACGUCGUUAGUUGCCAGCAUUUAGUUGGGCACUCUAGCGAGACCGCCGGUGAUAAACCGGAGGAAGGUGUGGAUGACGUCAAGUCAUCAUGCCCCUUACAUCCUGGGCUACACACGUACUACAAUGCUACGGACAAAGGGCAGCAAACUCGCGAGAGCUAGCAAAUCCCAUAAACCGUGGCUCAGUUCAGAUCGUAGGCUGCAACUCGCCUACGUGAAGGAGGAAUCGCUAGUAAUCGCAGGUCAGCAUACUGCGGUGAAUACGUUCCCGGGCCUUGUACACACCGCCCGUCACACCAUGGAAGUUGGCCACGCCCGAAGCCGUUACUCCAACCCUUGUGGAGGAGGACGUCGAAGGUGGGGCUGAUGACUGGGGUGAAGUCGUAACAAGGUAACC